Molecule: small nuclear RNA, 107 nt
Filed under: Dasypus novemcinctus (nine-banded armadillo)
Lineage: Eukaryota; Metazoa; Chordata; Mammalia; Cingulata; Dasypodidae
Source: RNAcentral
GUGCUUGCUUCAGCAGCACAUGUACUAAAAUUGGAACCAUACAGAGAAGAUUAGCAUGGCCCCUGCACAAGGAUGACACCCAAAUUUGUGAAGCAUUCCAUAUUUUU